UACGGAGGGUGCGAGCGUUGUCCGGAAUCACUGGGCGUAAAGGGCGCGUAGGUGGCGCGAGGAGUCUGUGGUGAAAGCCCGAGGCUCAACUCCGGGUCGGCCGUCGAUACUUCCGGGCUUGAGCACUGUAGAGGCAGAUGGAAUUCCGGGUGUAGCGGUGGAAUGCGUAGAGAUCCGGAAGAACACCGGUGGCGAAGGCGGUCUGCUGGGCAGUUGCUGACGCUGAUGCGCGACAGCGUGGGGAGCAAACAGG
This 253-nucleotide ribosomal RNA is filed under the name uncultured bacterium. RNAcentral's name for it is "partial 16S ribosomal RNA". It matches the Rfam family "Bacterial small subunit ribosomal RNA", at positions 524 to 776 of the family's 1533-position model. The record is from RNAcentral.